Molecule: long non-coding RNA, 494 nt
Filed under: Bos taurus (domestic cattle)
Lineage: Eukaryota; Metazoa; Chordata; Mammalia; Artiodactyla; Bovidae
Description: long non-coding RNA NONBTAT016751
Source: RNAcentral
CUCAUGUGGGACUGGGAAAGUCGAGACCAGCUUUGAGAAUAGCCCCAAACACCGUUGAGCAUAAAGUCAUGUCAUAUUUGUCUUCUGAGAUGGUCUAGAGAUUUCUGAAUGAGAGAUGGAGUCAGCCACUUCGAUGAUGGCAGCUGUUUAUUUUGCCCAGUGGAUGGUCCCAACUUAUUACUGAUUUAAAGAUACCCUUAUAUGGACAGCCCUCCAGACAUUGUACGUUUCUAAUUUUGAUCUCACCUCUGGCCUUUGUGUUUUAGCUGCUGCCUUCUCUUGGCUAUUUUUAAUACUUUUUUCUCAGUGUGUCUCAGAAUUGUCCAACACAUUCUAAAGAAUCAUAAUUUAAAUUUGACUGAUUCGUCCUUUUCUUCAGUGGCCAGGAUUAGUUAAAUUUUGAAAGAGAUUACUUUUCGUAAAUAAUCUCAGAGAGACUCUUUUGGAUAUUGUGCAGGGGGAUGUUUGAGGUUUUAUCCUAAUUAUUUUACUCA